RNAcentral lists this ribosomal RNA (253 nucleotides) under uncultured prokaryote. RNAcentral describes it as "partial 16S ribosomal RNA". It matches the Rfam family "Bacterial small subunit ribosomal RNA", at positions 524 to 776 of the family's 1533-position model. The record is from RNAcentral.
UACGUAGGUGGCAAGCGUUGUCCGGAAUUAUUGGGCGUAAAGCGCGCGCAGGUGGUUCCUUAAGUCUGAUGUGAAAGCCCCCGGCUCAACCGGGGAGGGUCAUUGGAAACUGGGGAACUUGAGUGCAGAAGAGGAUAGUGGAAUUCCAAGUGUAGCGGUGAAAUGCGUAGAUAUUGGGAGGAACACCAGUGGCGAAGGCGACUCACUGGACCGGUACUGACGCUGAUGCGCGAAAGCGUGGGGAGCAAACGGG